UAACGCGUGGGUAACCUGCCUCAUACAGGGGGAUAACAGUUAGAAAUGACUGCUAAUACCGCAUAAGACCACAGCACCGCAUGGUGCGGGGGUAAAAACUCCGGUGGUAUGAGAUGGACCCGCGUCUGAUUAGCUAGUUGGUAAGGGUAACGGCUUACCAAGGCGACGAUCAGUAGCCGACCUGAGAGGGUGACCGGCCACAUUGGGACUGAGACACGGCCCAAACUCCUACGGGAGGCAGCAGUGGGGAAUAUUGCACAAUGGGGGAAACCCUGAUGCAGCGACGCCGCGUGAGCGAAGAAGUAUUUCGGUAUGUAAAGCUCUAUCAGCAGGGAAGAAAAUGACGGUACCUGACUAAGAAGCACCGGCUAAAUACGUGCCAGCAGCCGCGGUAAUACGUAUGGUGCAAGCGUUAUCCGGAUUUACUGGGUGUAAAGGGAGCGUAGACGGAUGGGCAAGUCUGAUGUGAAAACCCGGGGCUCAACCCCGGGACUGCAUUGGAAACUGUUCAUCUAGAGUGCUGGAGAGGUAAGUGGAAUUCCUAGUGUAGCGGUGAAAUGCGUAGAUAUUAGGAGGAACACCAGUGGCGAAGGCGGCUUACUGGACAGUAACUGACGU
Molecule: ribosomal RNA, 618 nt
Filed under: uncultured Lachnospiraceae bacterium
Lineage: Bacteria; Bacillati; Bacillota; Clostridia; Lachnospirales; Lachnospiraceae
Description: bacterial SSU rRNA
Rfam family: Bacterial small subunit ribosomal RNA
Source: RNAcentral